Molecule: ribosomal RNA, 509 nt
Filed under: uncultured bacterium
Lineage: Bacteria
Description: bacterial SSU rRNA
Rfam family: Bacterial small subunit ribosomal RNA
Source: RNAcentral
GAACGCUGGCGGCGUGCUUAACACAUGCAAGUCGAACGGAGUACCCCUGAAGGAGUUUUCGGACAACUGAUGGGACUACUUAGUGGCGGACGGGUGAGUAACGCGUGAGUAACCUGCCUUGGAGUGGGGAAUAACAGCUGGAAACAGCUGCUAAUACCGCAUAAUAUGUCUGUGUCGCAUGGCACUGGACAUCAAAGAUUUAUCGCUCUGAGAUGGACUCGCGUCUGAUUAGCUAGUUGGCGGGGUAACGGCCCACCAAGGCGACGAUCAGUAGCCGGACUGAGAGGUUGGCCGGCCACAUUGGGACUGAGACACGGCCCAGACUCCUACGGGAGGCAGCAGUGGGGAAUAUUGGGCAAUGGGCGCAAGCCUGACCCAGCAACGCCGCGUGAAGGAAGAAGGCUUUCGGGUUGUAAACUUCUUUUCUCAGGGACGAAGCAAGUGACGGUACCUGAGGAAUAAGCCACGGCUAACUACGUGCCAGCAGCCGCGGUAAUACGUAGGUGGCA